GUGGGGAAUCUUGCGCAAUGGGCGAAAGCCUGACGCAGCCAUGCCGCGUGAAUGAUGAAGGUCUUAGGAUUGUAAAAUUCUUUCACCGGGGACGAUAAUGACGGUACCCGGAGAAGAAGCUCCGGCUAACUUCGUGCCAGCAGCCGCGGUAAUACGAAGGGGGCUAGCGUUGCUCGGAAUUACUGGGCGUAAAGGGCGCGUAGGCGGACAGCUUAGUCAGAGGUGAAAGCCCAGGGCUCAACCUUGGAAUUGCCUUUGAUACUGGCUGUCUUGAGUUUGGGAGAGGUGAGUGGAACUCCGAGUGUAGAGGUGAAAUUCGUAGAUAUUCGGAGGAACACCAGUGGCGAAGGCGGCUCACUGGCUCGGUACUGACGCUGAGGUGCGAAAGCGUGGGGAGCAAACAGGAUUAGAAACCCUUGUAGUCC
This 425-nucleotide ribosomal RNA is filed under the name uncultured bacterium. RNAcentral describes it as "partial 16S ribosomal RNA". It matches the Rfam family "Bacterial small subunit ribosomal RNA", at positions 354 to 796 of the family's 1533-position model. The record is from RNAcentral.